AGAGUUUGAUCAUGGCUCAGAUUGAACGCUGGCGGCAGGCCUAACACAUGCAAGUCGAGCGGCAGCGGGAAAGUAGCUUGCUACUUUUGCCGGCGAGCGGCGGACGGGUGAGUAAUGCCUGGGGAUCUGCCCAGUCGAGGGGGAUAACAGUUGGAAACGACUGCUAAUACCGCAUACGCCCUACGGGGGAAAGCAGGGGACCUUCGGGCCUUGCGCGAUUGGAUGAACCCAUGUGGGAUUAGCUAGUCGGUGGGGUAAUGGCUCACCAAGGCGACGAUCCCUAGCUGGUCUGAGAGGAUGAUCAGCCACACUGGAACUGAGACACGGUCCAGACUCCUACGGGAGGCAGCAGUGGGGAAUAUUGCACAAUGGGGGAAACCCUGAUGCAGCCAUGCCGCGUGUGUGAAGAAGGCCUUCGGGUUGUAAAGCACUUUCAGCGAGGAGGAAAGGUUGGUGCCUAAUACGCAUCAACUGUGACGUUACUCGCAGAAGAAGCACCGGCUAACUCCGUGCCAGCAGCCGCGGUAAUACGUAGGGGGCAAGCGUUGUCCGGAAUUACUGGGCGUAAAGCGCGUGUAGGCGGGACGGCAAGUCGGACGUGAAAGGCUCGGGCUCAACCC
This 620-nucleotide ribosomal RNA is filed under the name uncultured bacterium. RNAcentral's name for it is "bacterial SSU rRNA". It matches the Rfam family "Bacterial small subunit ribosomal RNA", at positions 8 to 615 of the family's 1533-position model. The record is from RNAcentral.